UACAGAGGUCCCAAGCGUUGUUCGGAUUCACUGGGCGUAAAGGGUGCGUAGGCGGUCGGGUAAGUCUGACGUGAAAUCUUCAAGCUUAACUUGGAAACUGCAUUUGAUACUGGCGUGCUUGAGGACUGGAGAGGAGACUGGAAUUUACGGUGUAGCAGUGAAAUGCGUAGAGAUCGUAAGGAAGACCAGUGGCGAAGGCGGGUCUCUGGACAGUUCCUGACACUGAGGCACGAAGGCCAGGGGAGCAAACGGG
Molecule: ribosomal RNA, 253 nt
Filed under: uncultured bacterium
Lineage: Bacteria
Description: partial 16S ribosomal RNA
Rfam family: Bacterial small subunit ribosomal RNA
Source: RNAcentral